RNAcentral lists this ribosomal RNA (301 nucleotides) under uncultured bacterium. RNAcentral describes it as "partial 16S ribosomal RNA". It matches the Rfam family "Bacterial small subunit ribosomal RNA", at positions 509 to 809 of the family's 1533-position model. The record is from RNAcentral.
CAGCAGCCGCGGUAAUACGUAGGGUCCGAGCGUUGUCCGGAAUUACUGGGCGUAAAGAGCUCGUAGGUGGUUUGUCGCGUUGUUCGUGAAAACUCACAGCUCAACUGUGGGCGUGCGGGCGAUACGGGCAGACUAGAGUACUGCAGGGGAGACUGGAAUUCCUGGUGUAGCGGUGGAAUGCGCAGAUAUCAGGAGGAACACCGGUGGCGAAGGCGGGUCUCUGGGCAGUAACUGACGCUGAGGAGCGAAAGCGUGGGGAGCGAACAGGAUUAGAUACCCCAGUAGUCCCUGUCUCUUAUAA